RNAcentral lists this ribosomal RNA (490 nucleotides) under uncultured bacterium. RNAcentral's name for it is "partial 16S ribosomal RNA". It matches the Rfam family "Bacterial small subunit ribosomal RNA", at positions 30 to 507 of the family's 1533-position model. The record is from RNAcentral.
AUUGAACGCUGGCGGCAGGCCUAACACAUGCAAGUCGAACGGUAACAGGAAGAAGCUUGCUUCUUUGCUGACGAGUGGCGGACGGGUGAGUAAUGUCUGGGAAACUGCCUGAUGGAGGGGGAUAACUACUGGAAACGGUAGCUAAUACCGCAUAACGUCGCAAGACCAAAGAGGGGGACCUUCGGGCCUCUUGCCAUCGGAUGUGCCCAGAUGGGAUUAGCUAGUAGGUGGGGUAACGGCUCACCUAGGCGACGAUCCCUAGCUGGUCUGAGAGGAUGACCAGCCACACUGGAACUGAGACACGGUCCAGACUCCUACGGGAGGCAGCAGUGGGGAAUAUUGCACAAUGGGCGCAAGCCUGAUGCAGCCAUGCCGCGUGUAUGAAGAAGGCCUUCGGGUUGUAGAGUACUUUCAGCGGGGAGGAAGGGAGUAAAGUUAAUACCUUUGCUCAUUGACGUUACCCGCAGAAGAAGCACCGGCUAACUCCGUG